CUGUCUCCAGCAAUGAUUUUGACAGGGUGACAAUCCAGUGUACAUAUGCUCUGGCUGGACUACUCUCAGUAUACAGGUUUCAGUCUGACACGGCUGGUGUUGGCCGUAUUGUGCAUUCUGCACACUCCACUGAAGGUCUACUGGGUCCCACCAUCAGCCCACUACAGUGCCUCAAACUUCAU
Long non-coding RNA from Etheostoma spectabile (orangethroat darter), 182 nucleotides. RefSeq lists it as uncharacterized. The record is from RefSeq and is a predicted model, not a curated record. The transcript is spliced from 3 exons. NCBI's taxonomy places the organism in Eukaryota, Metazoa, Chordata, Actinopteri, Perciformes, Percidae.